Hibiscus syriacus is the source of this 755-nucleotide long non-coding RNA. RefSeq lists it as uncharacterized. The transcript has 4 exons. The record is from RefSeq and is a predicted model, not a curated record. Lineage: Eukaryota; Viridiplantae; Streptophyta; Magnoliopsida; Malvales; Malvaceae.
ACGGAAGGAUCUUGGAUGUUGUUUCCUUGAAGACGCCCAAGCUUCGUUGACAAGCAUGGGUUGUGUUUGAUGAGUUGACAGCUGCUAGUAACGCCUUCCGUCAGAUGCAAAAUUUUCCAUGUUAUGAUAAACCUAUGGUGAAUACAAUAUGCAAAGACAAAGUCAGAUUGUAUUGCCAAAAAUGAUGGAAGCUUUGUUCCCAGAGAAAAGAAGAAGCAAGAACAGAAAGGAAACGACGUGCAGAGGAAGCACAGCAAUAUACAAUGUCAAAUAGCGCAGGUUCUCAAAGUAAUGGUGGACCGAAGGCUCCUUUCCAUGGAAACGUGAAUGCCCAAGAGCAGGCGUUCUGUUCAUACAGAAUUUACCUCAUUAGACAACGAGCGUGAUGCUGCAACUGGUUUUCAUACAAUACCCUGGGUUCAGGGAAGACCGGAUGAUUGAAGCAAAGUCGGGUAAUGCAUUCGUGGAGUAUGAAGACGAAGAGCAGUCUUCUACAGAAAUGCAGAACCUGCAGGGUUUCAAGAUCGCCCCUCGGUAUCCCAUGGCUAUCACUUUCGCUAAAAAGUAAAAUAACCUAUCCUUGUACCGGUGAUGUUUAAUUUCGUGCCUUGGUAUAACUAGGGAAUUCCUGCAAGUAUGUUGGCGGAAUAGUUUUAUUAUUAUGGCUUCAUACAUACAUACAUAAUCAUGGUUUGUAAUUGGAGAGUGGGGAUGAGAGGUGGGUAGGUGUUAGUGGUGGGAGAGGCACCCAGGGA